Molecule: non-coding RNA, 73 nt
Organism: Neomonachus schauinslandi (Hawaiian monk seal)
Lineage: Eukaryota; Metazoa; Chordata; Mammalia; Carnivora; Phocidae
Source: the annotation of a RefSeq genome assembly
ACCUGGCUGGCUCAGUCGGUAGAGCAUGAGACUUUGGAUCUCAGGACUGUAGGUUUGAACCCCACGUUGGGCA